Bubalus bubalis (water buffalo) is the source of this 2450-nucleotide long non-coding RNA. RefSeq lists it as uncharacterized. The transcript has 2 exons. Lineage: Eukaryota; Metazoa; Chordata; Mammalia; Artiodactyla; Bovidae. The record is from RefSeq and is a predicted model, not a curated record.
UUUUUAAUGUGCUGUCCAGAUUUGUCAACAUAGGCUCUUAUUAUUGCUCUGGGCCCACCCAUUUGUUUUUAUGACUCUCCAGUAUUCUACUGAACUUGACUGUGAUGGUCAUGGAAGUAAUUUCUGAUUUUCCACUCCUAAAAUCCACGCUACAUAAAUAAGCUUGUAAACAGAGGUGCUUAUGAGUAUUUCUGCCAGACAGAUUUUUUAUUUCUUGUGCCUCCAUCAAAUGUCCCCACUAAAUGCAAAAAAGGAAAAGACUAUGAAGAUUUUCCUAGGGUCCCUCUCUGUCCCUUUGGAAAGGAUAGGCGAGGAGCCGUCUGCUGAGAAGCUGCUAGAGAAGACAAAUCUGUACUAUUUGCCCUCAGAAGAGGGGGAGCAGUUAGGAUGCAGGUGUGGAAUAAGAGCCAUUUGCUACAAACGGUGAGAAAAAUAGCUUGUGGGAGCCUUUGUUCCUUCAGAGGCGUAAUUGCCUUUGAUGGGCUGUUAAUAGGAGUCAUUAUGUGGUUAUUAAGAAGGGAAUGUGAUGAGCCCAGCUCUGAAUAGCUAAAUUCAGGGGGCUCCUGGUUUAAUCUUGUUUUUCCUCUGCACACAAGGAGUCCUGCUACUUACCUGGAAUCCCCUCGAAUCAGGGAAUUUGAACUUUGAGUCCAGUAGGUUGGGACAAUUCCUGAGGGUACCAAUUACUUCCUGGGGCACCUAAUGGUGGGGAGGAGGGGGGCAGCGUAGGGCAGGGGAAAGAAAAGGAAAAGGAAAGGAAGAGAUGAGAAGGGAGUUAGGAAGGGUGAUCAAGAGAUGGAGUGGAACUUCCCUGGUGGUCCAGUGGCUCCCAAGGCAGGGGACCUGGGUUUGAUCCCUGAUCAGGGAGCCCAUAUGCCACAACUAAAGACCUGGCCCAGCCAAAUAAAAUAAAUGUUUUUAAAAAGACAGAGAUGGAGUGAUGGAGAGAUGGGAGGAGAGAAGGCAAGGGAGAGAAAGAGUGGAACAGAGAAAAGCUGGAACAGAGUGAUAGUGAGCAGAAAGAAAAGUGCGCAGGAGGUAGGUGGGGGGAGAAAAGAAAAAUGAAAAGAACAUCAGCCCGUAGGGUAAAUUCUAGAGCCUGAAUUCCGGCUCAUGACCUGGGAAUGACCUCCAAAGGCUGAUCCUCCGGCCCACCCAGCCCUGCUGAUUUCAUUUCUAUAUUUAACAAGAUCCCUGGUAAUGACUCUGCAGGUUCAAGUUCGAGAAGCAUUGAUUUGAGCUCAGCGUGGGGCUUGGAGUGGCUCAUGCCAGGGCCUGGGGGACUCGCCGAGGAGGAGCAAGCUGGACAUGAUCUUGCUGAGAAGCUAGGUUAGAUGGAGAAAAAAGCCCAGGAGAGAAAUGAAGCAGAAGGAGCAAUUUGGUUCUGGGACUGUUUCCUGCCUGUGGAGGAGUCAGGGUUGCAUGAAGAAUACUUCACCUGAGUUUGAGGAGUUUGCAGCCACUUUCAGGGCCAGGAGGAAGUCACUGGUCUCCUCUGCAAAGUUACAAAGUUUCCAAGCGCACGCCUGGCCAGACUUUUCCUGGCUGCUCCUGGAGAUGUUUGGAAGUGAACGGCAGGUGUUGUGAUUGUUUUGCGAAGCACCUUGUGCAGCCCAGAAGAGAAUCUUUACUUCCUCCACACCUUCCAGUCCAGGGCCACGCCAGUAUGUGCAGACAAUGGUUUGGCGGGGACUGACCACAGACUCAGUCCCACACAGCUUUAGAUACAUUCAAAAGGUCGUCUUGACCUUGGACCUGGAGAUGCUUCAGAGCCUCUGCCACCUGUUGGGGGCUUCUCAGGCAUCCAUGGUUCAACUGACACAGGCAAAGUCUAGAUUCCUCCGUGUGGUGCCCUUGGCCUUCCAGGACCUGGACUGCCUGGCCUUCAGACCUCCCUGUACUGGCCUCGGAGGCCCUCCCUACCCCCAGCUCACUGCCGCAGCCCCCAGGACCACAGUGUGCUGUGUUUGCAGGUAUUUGGGAGAGGUGGUCUCCCUGCCUAGCAAGCUGGCUCCACCCCUCGCCCUCCUUAGUCCACCAUGGGGCCCACGACUCUCAGGCAGGUCUUUGUCCUAGUGGGCAAAGUCCUGUCUUUGUCCUAGUGGGCAUCUGCCAGCAACUUACCAUCCUCCUCCGAGAGGCUGCUUUAGGCUCUGGGUGUUCAGCAUCUUUAGUUUCCGGAAUAUACAAGACACAGUGAGUGAAGAAAGCUUCCUCCUUCUCAAAAUGCAAAGGGCUCCCUCCAAUUGUUUCCUAGAAUUAAAAAAAAAAAGUAUUUAUCUGGCUGCAUCACGUCUUAGCUGCAGCAUAUGGGAUCUUCAUUACAUGAAUUCUGAUCUUUUGUUGCAGUGCCCCGACUCUAGUUUUGCUGCUCCGGCUCAGUAGCUCUGAGGCACGUGGGAUUUUAGUUCCCAACCAUGGAUCCAACCCAGGUCCUCUGCAUUGCAAGU